This 377-nucleotide unclassified non-coding RNA is filed under the name uncultured Bacteriovoracaceae bacterium. RNAcentral describes it as "contains 16S-23S intergenic spacer region". The record is from RNAcentral. Lineage: Bacteria; Pseudomonadati; Bdellovibrionota; Bacteriovoracia; Bacteriovoracales; Bacteriovoracaceae.
UCCGGGUUAACCCCGGCAGUCUCUUUAGAGUGCCCAACUUAAUGCUGGCAACUAAAAAUAGGGGUUGCGCUCGUUGCGAGACUUAACCCAACAUUUCACAACACGAGCUGACGACAGCCAUGCAGCGCCUGUCUCCGUGCUCCCUUGCGGGCACCUCUCCAUCUCUGAAAAGUUCACGGGAUUUCAAACCCAGGUAAGGUUUUUCGCGUUGCUUCGAAUUAAACCACAUGAUCCACCGCUUGUGCGGGCCCCCGUCAAUUCCUUUGAGUUUUAGUCUUGCGACCGUACUCCUCAGGCGGAACACUUAUUGCGUUAGCUGCGUCACGGAGAAGUAACCUCCCCCAUAACUAGUGUUCAUCGUUUACGGCGUGGACUAC